CCAAUAGCGUAUAUUAAAGUUGUUGCAGUUAAAAAGCUCGUAGUUGAAUUUCGGGGUCAAUAUAUCGGUCGUGCCAUCGGUACGUACUGGUAUCAUUGGUUUCUCCUUUCUGACGAACCAUGAUGUCAUUAAUUUGGUGUUAUGGGAAGUUAGGCCUGUUACUUUGAAAAAAUUAGAGUGUUUAAAGCAGGCUUUAGCUUGAAUACAUUAGCAUGGAAUAAUGAAAUAGGACGUUCGAACCUAUUUUGUUGGUUUCUAGGAUCACCGUAAUGAUUAAUAGG
Molecule: ribosomal RNA, 281 nt
Filed under: uncultured Glomus
Lineage: Eukaryota; Fungi; Glomeromycota; Glomeromycetes; Glomerales; Glomeraceae
Description: partial 18S small subunit ribosomal RNA
Rfam family: Eukaryotic small subunit ribosomal RNA
Source: RNAcentral